This 304-nucleotide ribosomal RNA is filed under the name uncultured bacterium. RNAcentral describes it as "partial 16S ribosomal RNA". It matches the Rfam family "Bacterial small subunit ribosomal RNA", at positions 506 to 807 of the family's 1533-position model. The record is from RNAcentral.
CAGCAGUCGCCACGGGAAUACGUAGGGUGCGAGCGUUAAUCGGAAUUACUGGGCGUAAAGCGUGCGCAGGCGGUUGUGUAAGACAGGUGUGAAAUCCCCGGGCUUAACCUGGGAACUGCGCUUGUGACUGCACAGCUAGAGUAUGGCAGAGGGGGGUGGAAUUCCACGUGUAGCAGUGAAAUGCGUAGAGAUGUGGAGGGACACCGAUGGCGAAGGCAGCCCCCUGGGCCAAUACUGACGCUCAUGCACGAAAGCGUGGGGAGCAAACAGGAUUAGAUACCCCGGUAGUCCCUGUCUCUUAUAC